Molecule: unclassified non-coding RNA, 350 nt
Filed under: Hevea brasiliensis (rubber tree)
Lineage: Eukaryota; Viridiplantae; Streptophyta; Magnoliopsida; Malpighiales; Euphorbiaceae
Source: RNAcentral
UCAACUUGAGAGAACUUCUUGGAUAAAAGGGCGAUGACAUUGGGGACAACAUUGGCGGGCAGCAAAGUGUGAGCGUGCUCGCGGGCAAGUCUGUAAACUAGCGACUUGGUGAGGGUGAAGGUGAAAGGUGCCAAAGUGUGGGAAACUGUAGGCAAUCUGCGGCGACUGAGGAGCUCCGCUUGGACUGCAUCCGAGAUUUUGAACACUCGCUUCAUUUGCUGUCAACUAGCAUAAAUCCAAAUUUUAAUUUUUGUUUAGGAGGGUUUAUCCAAAGAAUCGAUGAGGCCUGACAACGAGACGCUGAUGCAAUGCGAUGCGAUUGAUCCAUGGCUGCCUGAAAUUGUCAAGGU